This 407-nucleotide long non-coding RNA is filed under the name Rattus norvegicus (Norway rat). Its description in RNAcentral is "long non-coding RNA NONRATT001064". The record is from RNAcentral. Lineage: Eukaryota; Metazoa; Chordata; Mammalia; Rodentia; Muridae.
GCCUCAAGUUUUCACUGCAGCCCAAGGGUGUGCUGGGACCACAGAAAUCUCUGACCAAAGACCCAUUGCCCCAAGGAGCCAACUGGGUUAGACCUAGCCUUAGCAUCAUAUCAACUCUGGCCCCCACAUCAGUACCUGCUGAUACCCCUGAAGUUGCUGACGUACCUCCACCUGUCCCAGCCCCACCUACACCACCUCCCCAAGAAGGGCCAGAAGGCAGACCCACCAGAUUCUCCUAUAAAGGUCGAAACCCCUUCCGGAGGGGCCCCUAUAUGCUUUCAGGGUCUGUCCUCGGAGUUCGACAGCGACGAAUGAAGCUGAGUCAAGAGAUGCAGGGGGCAAGGCCCCUAAGAUCUGGCAUAGGGAUACUGGUUCCCAAUAAACAUCAGCUGCUGCACCCCCAAACC